Molecule: small RNA, 206 nt
Organism: Burkholderia sp. lig30
Lineage: Bacteria; Pseudomonadati; Pseudomonadota; Betaproteobacteria; Burkholderiales; Burkholderiaceae
Rfam family: Burkholderia sRNA 11
About the family: Identified by RNA-seq, RACE and Northern blot. Strongly expressed in biofilm.
Source: Rfam
CCCAUUUCGCGAAGGAUGUUCUGAGCGGAAUACGGUGGCCGCAUAUGUUGCGAGCCAGAUAGGGCAGAAAGCGCAGUCCGCGCAGACCGCGGCUGUCGCGUUUGCGUUGCUCCAGGCGUGACCGAUAGCGCCGAAGAGCCCGCCGCCCGAAGGCGCCCGCGUGCGCAUGAAAAAAGGCCUUCAUCUGGCGAUGAAGGCCUUUUACU